UGGGGAAUAUUGCACAAUGGGCGCAAGCCUGAUGCAGCCAUGCCGCGUGUAUGAAGUAGGCCUUCGGGUUGUAAAGUACUUUCAGCGAGGAGGAAGGCGUUGUGGUUAAUAACCGCAGCGAUUGACGUUACUCGCAGAAGAAGCACCGGCUAACUCCGUGCCAGCAGCCGCGGUAAUACGGAGGGUGCAAGCGGUAAUCGGAAUUACUGGGUGUAAAGCGCACGCAGGCGGUCUGUCAAGUCGGAGGUGAAAUCCCCGGGCUCAACCUGGGAACUGCAGCCGAAACUGGCAGGCUAGAGUCUUGUAGAGGGGGGUAGAAUUCCAGGUGUAGCGGUGAAAUGCGUAGAGAUCUGGAGGAAUACCGGUGGCGAAGGCGGCCCCCUGGACAAAGACUGACGCUCAGGUGCGAAAGCGUGGGGAGCAAACA
RNAcentral lists this ribosomal RNA (427 nucleotides) under uncultured bacterium. RNAcentral describes it as "partial 16S ribosomal RNA". It matches the Rfam family "Bacterial small subunit ribosomal RNA", at positions 355 to 774 of the family's 1533-position model. The record is from RNAcentral.